GGCCCUGAGGUGUAAUCAUAUCAGAUUGCAAAUCUGAAGAAGCGGUUAGUUCCCGCCGGGGCUU
RNAcentral lists this transfer RNA (64 nucleotides) under Oreolalax multipunctatus (dotted lazy toad). RNAcentral's name for it is "tRNA-Cys". It matches the Rfam family "tRNA". From Rfam's summary of the family: Transfer RNA (tRNA) molecules are approximately 80 nucleotides in length. The record is from RNAcentral. Lineage: Eukaryota; Metazoa; Chordata; Amphibia; Anura; Megophryidae.